This 253-nucleotide ribosomal RNA is filed under the name uncultured bacterium. RNAcentral's name for it is "partial 16S ribosomal RNA". It matches the Rfam family "Bacterial small subunit ribosomal RNA", at positions 524 to 776 of the family's 1533-position model. The record is from RNAcentral.
UACAGAGGGUGCGAGCGUUGUCCGGAAUCACUGGGCGUAAAGGGCGCGUAGGCGGUCCGGUAAGCGUGCGGUGAAAGCCCGGGGCUCAACCCCGGGUCGGCCGUGCGGACUGGCGGACUGGAGCACUGUAGAGGCAGGUGGAAUUCCGGGUGUAGCGGUGGAAUGCGUAGAGAUCCGGAAGAACACCGGUGGCGAAGGCGGCCUGCUGGGCAGUGGCUGACGCUGAGGCGCGACAGCGUGGGGAGCAAACAGG